GUGCAAAGUGCUGUUCAAACAUUGAGUCAGCAAUGAACUCUGCACGCCAGCCUUUGGUGCAUGUUAAAUUCAAAACAAGCCUAGCGUUUUUUUUUUUUUUUUUUUUUUUUUGGAUAGAAACUGGUGGGGGUGGGGAAAGAAUGAGGGAACUGGGAAGAGAAGGAGGGGAAGUUAAACCUUGCUUCCCACUCUGUCUUUCUCAGAAAACCAAACAUGGCAUCUUCCAUGAGGAGCUUGUCUUCUGACCACGGGAGAUAUGCUGAAUCUUUCCGGAGGUUUCUCAGCCAUUCCACGGAACACCAGUGCAUGCAGGAAUUCAUGGACAAGAAGCUGCCAGGCAUAAUAGCAAGGAUUGGAGACACAAAAUCAGAAAUUAAGAUUCUCAGCAUAGGCGGAGGUGCAGAUUUUCUCAUUUGGAGAAGCUCCAGGGUUCUCAAGCAGAAUUCGUGUUUCAUUUUGUGUAGUACCUGUCAGAAAGACAAGCCAGACAUGAGGAUACAUGAUGAGCACUCUUCCGAGUUGCCAUUUGGAGCUGGCCAUUUAAUAAGGCACAUCUUCCUUUCCCUCAUUCCUAGUUUCCUAAAGCCUCUUUUAAGUGUCACCUUUUCCUUGAAGCCUACUUGACCACACAGUUGAAAACUGCAAAGCCUUCACACAGCAGCUUCCCUUUUCUUUGUUGCUUUGGGUUUCUCCAUGGGACUUCUCACCAUCCAUAAAAAAUAGGGUUUUUUUUUUUUGCCGGUUUUAUUCACUGCUACAUCUCCAGUGGUUAGAACCUGACAUUUAGUAGGUGCUCAAAAAAUUGGUUGAAUUAAUGUAUAA
RNA transcript from Mandrillus leucophaeus (drill), 822 nucleotides. It is a transcript of the gene named histamine N-methyltransferase-like, with no coding region annotated. Lineage: Eukaryota; Metazoa; Chordata; Mammalia; Primates; Cercopithecidae. The transcript has 3 exons. The record is from RefSeq and is a predicted model, not a curated record.